Molecule: ribosomal RNA, 1089 nt
Filed under: Triticum aestivum (bread wheat)
Lineage: Eukaryota; Viridiplantae; Streptophyta; Magnoliopsida; Poales; Poaceae
Description: partial small subunit ribosomal RNA
Source: RNAcentral
AUGUGCAUUUCCCUUGCAUGGUUGAAAUCCAAAGGCAAGAACAGGACCCAGGGAAAGCACAAGAAGGCGCUAUUGGAUGGCUCAAGUGAUCUUGAAUUCCCAUUUGUAAGAUUUGAGGAGAUUGCCCUAGCAACACAUAAUUUCUCGGAAACAUGUAUGACUGGACGGGGAGGCUUUGGCAAAGUUUACAAGGGAACACUAGGCGAUCAGGAAAUUGCUGUCAAACGGCUAAAUAAGGAUUCUCAACAAGGAACAAAUGAAUUCAGAAAUGAAGUAAUACUUAUUGCCAAACUUCAACACAGAAAUUUGGUUCGACUUCUUGGAUGUUGUGACGAGGGAGAUGAAAAGUUGUUGAUUUAUGAGUAUUUGCCUAAUAGAAGCUUAGAUGCCACCCUUUUCGAUGAUUCAAGGAAAUUGCUGCUGGAUUGGGGAACACGUUUAAAUAUAAUCAAAUGUGUCGCCAGGGGGCUUCUUUAUCUCCACCAAGAUUCAAGGCUGACCAUAAUUCACAAAGAUCUCAAAGCUGGAAAUGUUUUGCUAGAUGCACAGAUGAAGCCCAAGAUAGCGGAUUUUGGUAUGGCGAGGAUCUUCGGUGAUAACCAGGAAAAUGCAAACACCCAACGUGUCGUCGGAACAUACGGCUACAUGGCUCCUGAGUAUGCAAUGCAAGGCGUCAUCUCUACCAAGUCCGACAUCUAUAGUUUUGGCGUGUUGCUAUUGGAGACUGUAACCGGUAUGAAGAGAAGCUCCAGCAGUCCCAUGGGCUCUCCUAGCCUCAUAGCUUACUCAUGGAAUAUGUGGAAGGACGGGAAGGCAGAGGAGUUGGCCGACCCAUCUAUCAUGGACACAUGCUUACCAGAUGAGGUGUUGCUUUGCAUUCAUGUAGCCCUCUUGUGUGUCCAAGAAAACCCAAAAGACAGGCCACACAUGUCAUCAGUUGUGUUGGCGCUAGAGAAUGGGAGCACUACACUGCCAGCUCCCGACCGGCCUGCAUACUUUGCAGGAUGGAGCACUGAACUGGAGCAGCUCAGAAACAAUAUUCAGAAUUCUGUGAAUAGGUUAACUCUUACUGGUAUAGAGGGUCGAUAA